RNAcentral lists this ribosomal RNA (531 nucleotides) under uncultured bacterium. RNAcentral describes it as "bacterial SSU rRNA". It matches the Rfam family "Bacterial small subunit ribosomal RNA", at positions 791 to 1322 of the family's 1533-position model. The record is from RNAcentral.
UAGUCCACGCCGUAAACGAUGUCGACUUGGAGAUUGUACCUUUAAGGUAUGGGUUCCGAAGCUAACGCAUUAAGUCGACCGCCUGGGGAGUACGGCCGCAAGGUUAAAACUCAAAUGAAUUGACGGGGGCCCGCACAAGCGGUGGAGCGUGUGGUUUAAUUCGAUGCAACGCGAAGAACCUUACCUGGUCUUGACAUCCAGAGAAUUUUUUAGAGAUAAGAAAGUGCCUUCGGGAACUCUGAGACAGGUGCUGCAUGGCGGUCGUCAGCUCGUGUUGUGAAAUGUUGGGUUAAGUCCCGCAACGAGCGCAACCCUUGUCCUUUGUUGCCAGCGGUUCGGCCGGGAACUCAAAGGAGACUGCCGGUGAUAAACCGGAGGAAGGUGGGGACGACGUCAAGUCAUCAUGGCCCUUAUGACCAGGGCUACACACGUGCUACAAUGGCGUAUACAAAGAGCUGCAAGCUUGUAAAAGUAAGCGAAUCUCACAAAGUACGUCACAGUCCGGACUGGAGUCUGCAACUCGACUCCACG